UCCGUAGGUGAACCUGCGGAAGGAUCAUUAAAGAAAUUUAAUUGAUUUGUCUGAGCUCGGAGAGAGACAUCUCUGGGGAGGACCAGUGUAGACACUCAGGAGGCUCCUAAAAUAUUUUCUCUGCUGUGAAUGCUAUUUCUCCUGCCUGCGCUUAAGUGCGCGGUUGGUGGGUGUUCUGCAGUGGGGGGAGGGAGCCGACAAAGACCUGGGAGUGUGCGUGGAUCUCUCUAUUCCAAAGGAGGUGUUUUAUCACACGACUCGACACUUUCUAAUUACUACACACAGUGGAGUUUACUUUACUACUAUUCUUUUGUUCGUUGGGGGAACGCUCUCUUUCGGGGGGGAGUUCUCCCAGUGGAUGCAAACACAAACAAAUAUUUUUUUAAACUAAUUCAGUCAACACAAGAUUUCUUUUAGUAGAAAACAACUUCAAAACUUUCAACAAUGGAUCUCUUGGUUCUCGCAUCGAUGAAGAACGCAGC
RNAcentral lists this ribosomal RNA (482 nucleotides) under Nakaseomyces glabratus. RNAcentral describes it as "[Candida] glabrata partial contains small subunit ribosomal RNA, internal transcribed spacer 1, and 5.8S ribosomal RNA". The stretch from base 434 to 482 matches the Rfam family "5.8S ribosomal RNA", at positions 1 to 49 of the family's 154-position model. Lineage: Eukaryota; Fungi; Ascomycota; Saccharomycetes; Saccharomycetales; Saccharomycetaceae. The record is from RNAcentral.